Molecule: long non-coding RNA, 3330 nt
Filed under: Equus caballus (horse)
Lineage: Eukaryota; Metazoa; Chordata; Mammalia; Perissodactyla; Equidae
Description: lncRNA (ENSECAG00000052014.1)
Source: RNAcentral
CUCAACUCUGUUUGCCGAGUAACUUCCCUUAGCAAACUUCAAUGCCACCGCAACACCUUGGCCACGCCCUCCACGCCCGUGGGGAUGAGGAAGGAACCCCAAGUGGGGGGCUGGUCCUGAGGCAUUGUCAACCUCCUUCUGAUUCUGAGGAUGGAAUUCUGGGACUCCCACACCCCCAGAGUCAAGAGCAGCUGUCAGGAGGGCCCUACAUAGAAUGUCUGACCUGGCAGCCAUUUGGGGGUAGGGCCAGUGAAGCCAAAGACCUAUGAGGACUUCCUUCAGCCCUGGGAUAAAGGCGAAGCUCCUUCUGUGAUACUCAAGGUCUUUCAGUGUCAUCCCCAAAUUGUCCUUCCAUAUGCCCCCUCUACCUGGCUGACUCCUGCUCCUCCGAGCUCCCCUGUCACCAUUGCUAGGAAGCCCUGUCUCAGUCUCUCCAGUUCCCUGUCCUGAGUCAGGCUUCCUGUGGGAUCCCAGCUUCCUCAGCAUCCCGGCCCUAGGUCAUCCUUGCCUGCUUAUGUGCCUGUUGUCCGCACAGAGGAGGACACCGUGUCUAUUUAGUCUCUAUAUCCCAGGGUCUGUACAAAGAAGUGCUCGGUAAAGCUUUGCUGAACUGAGGAGGGUAGACGGAGUGGCCACGGUGGGGACAUCAGUUCCUACCCCUUCGGCUCCUUUCGCGGGCUUCCGCCCCCUCUGCUGAGUCUCCUGUAGGGAAAGGUGCACAUGAAGAGUAGUUAGAGGCAGCCGAAAGGCCGAGAGCUACCACAAGGUAGAUGUGGGCUCCAGUCCUGUUCAGAUGUCAGCUGAUUUAGCGGAGCCGGAGGAUUCCUGUGUGUUGACGGGGGAUCCUAUUCCACCAGAGGAGCAGAGAGGGCGUGAGGAAUAAAUGAAAUAACGUGAGAAAAGCAGCAUCCAGAGGUCAGGUACCCACUUGCUCAUGAAAUUAUAGAAGUGUUAGAACUGCAGAAAGUGCAGAGAACCCAGAUGCCCAGGAGAAAUAGGCACUCAUUCUGUCCAAGGGACUGAGGCAGGGAAAGCUCUCAACUUGAGAGGACUUUUGAACUGGGCUUUGAAGGAUAAAUAGGAGUUGGGCUUUGGAGGAUAAAUAGGAGUUCCCCAUAAAUAGUCAGAGGAAAUUGAGGUGAGAAGACUGGGAGUGACACAGGGAGAGCAUCCCAGCAUCUACAUGGAACUACACUAAGCAGGAUUUGGGUUAAGAAGGAGGAGGGACUUCUCAUCCCAGAGCCUUGGGCAGAAUUCAAGUCCAGGAUUUGCCUAAAGGGUGUUCAUUUCUCCCCACAGCCUUGACCCAGGGCAGUGAUACCAAAUUGGAAAACAAGCCCCCUUUCCGGCCGGGAGCGACAGAAGGAGGCAGGCCCAUUUUCUAGGGCAGCCACAGAGCUGUGCCGCAGUCACGAUGGAGACCAUGAGGUAUGGUGCUGGCAGGACAACCAGGAGGGUCUCUGUGACAGACAGGAAGCUCCCGCCUCAGGUCUGCGCUCUCAGGCAGCCUUCCUGCCAUCUUGGCAGCUGGAGCUUGCAGACACAGAGCGGGGGUGUUUGUUUUCCUCCCACAGCAGCCUGCCCCUCCCCCCGCUCUCACACCCGGUUUUGGCUCCCAGGCUGGAGGUGCUGGGCGGAGCCCUGAGAGGCUAAGACCUGGUUUCUCGGCCUCUGACUGGCUGUGUGGUCCUGGACAGGUCCCUCACCUUCUCUGGGCUGCCCCUGCCUGCUCUGCAUAUUCGAGAAGUUGGGUUCCGAGACUUUGCUGGCUCUUCCACCUUUCACAUUUCCAGGUUCUGGGUCCCAUGAUGGGCAUCAUUUGAUGAGAAGAUGCCGCGAUCCAGGAAGAGGAUGAGAAAUUACCAGCCCUGAACCCUCCCGGCCCGAACCCAGAGCCAGAAAAAGUAGUAUGCGCUGAAGUGUCCAUAGAAAGCUCCUGGUCCAACUCCUCCAUUUCACAGUUGGGGAAACUGAGGCUGGAAGGGGGAGGAUGGAGGUGGUGAUUUGCCCGAUAUGCCCGAGGAGUGAGAGCCCAAGCCAGGACUGGAGCCCGGUCCCCUGGCCCCAGCCUCCAGCUACCAGGCAGAGCCCGGGUCGCCUAGGGAGCAGCGGGCGCCAGGAGGCCGGGAGGAGGCGGAGGAGCGGGGGCGCGCCCGGCCGCCCCGGCCCCGCGGGCCCCUUCCGGCCCCUCCCCCAGCCUGCGCACCGUCCCGCCACCUGCUCCCCGGUCCGCUGGGGCGGGGCCGCCGCCCCCCGUCUCCAUGGCAACGCGCGGCCCGGCCGGCCGCCCUGGCCUCGCUGCCGCCGCGCAGCCCAUCUGGCCCCAAGCCCGCCCCAGCUGGACCGCCCGAGGCCCCGUCGGCCGGGGGCCCCCACAGCCCCGCGGCGCCCGAGAGCAAGGCAGGAGCGCCGGGCGUCGGGCACCAGCGAUGCCAGCACCUGGGCUGGCUGCGAGGCUCAUCCCGAUGGAUCAGAAGCUGUGCUGCCCUCCCGGAUCCCCGAGUCUAGAGAGUAUCCUCCCCCCCCCCACACCCCCCCCCACCCAGCACAUUCGCUCAGGGCGGCAGGAGGAGCUCUCAGGAUUGGAGGCGAGCUCUCUGGAGCCAGCCACCCUGGAGGCGAAUCCCCAAGGAGGGUGACCCUGGGCAAUUUACUUAAGCUUUUACCCGUCUGAAAAAUGGAGGCGAGCACAGAACCUGGCUCUCUGGGUGGUUGUGAGGGUUAAAUGGGUCAAUAAAGAAAAAUACAUGGAGUGAGCACGCAAUAAGUAUCAGCUAUUAUUAUUACUGCAGGUGGCAAGUGCUGCAGAGAGGGCCAUGGAAGCCCGGAGUAAGGGUCCUAACCCAGCAUGGGGGCAGCAGGGGCCGCUUCCUGGAGGAGGCCGUGCUGGUUGGUGUCGGCGCAAAUAACAGUUAGCCAGGAAGCAGAAGAGAAGAGGGAGCAGCAGCAGCAAAGACGUAGAGAUGAAAAAUAGCGUGGGGGAGGGGGGGAAGACUUACAAAGCCCCUCAGUGUUGCUGGAGAGGAUACAAGAGCCUGGCUUUCAGUUGGAGGGCAGUGGCACGGGAGCCACUGAAGGGUUUUCACAGAGCCAAGACAUGUUCCUUGUUUUCCUAGAGAUCACUCUAGCCGCCAUACGUGCAGUGGCUUGGAGGGGCCAGCAUCCUUUUGAGAGAUGAUGAGGCCUAAACAAGGGGAGAUGCAAGGUCAGUGGUAGGUGGGGACAGAUUCAUGGCUGUUAAGGAAGCAGGUAUGGCAGGAUGGUGACCUAUGGGUUGGAUGUGGCUGGAGAGGACGGAGUUAAGGAGGGACAUGGGCACUCAGGUCGUUG